GAGUUUGAUUAUGGCUCAGGAUGAACGCUAGCUACAGGCUUAACACAUGCAAGUCGAGGGGCAGCAUGGGCUUAGCUUGCUAAGCCCGAUGGCGACCGGCGCACGGGUGAGUAACACGUAUCCAACCUUCCGGUAACUCCGGUAUAGCCUUUCGAAAGAAAGAUUAAUCCCGGAUAGUAUGGUGAUUCCGCAUGGUUUCUCCAUUAAAGGAUUCCGGUUACCGAUGGGGAUGCGUUCCAUUGGGCAGUUGGCGGGGUAACGGCCCACCAAACCUACGAUGGAUAGGGGUUCUGAGAGGAAGGUCCCCCACAUUGGAACUGAGACACGGUCCAAACUCCUACGGGAGGCAGCAGUGAGGAAUAUUGGUCAAUGGGCGGAAGCCUGAACCAGCCAAGUAGCGUGAAGGAUGACUGCCCUAUGGGUUGUAAACUUCUUUUAUAAGGGAAUAAUUGCGGGUACGCGUACCCGUUGCAUNACCUAGAUA
RNAcentral lists this ribosomal RNA (484 nucleotides) under Prevotella heparinolytica. RNAcentral's name for it is "bacterial SSU rRNA". It matches the Rfam family "Bacterial small subunit ribosomal RNA", at positions 9 to 485 of the family's 1533-position model. Lineage: Bacteria; Pseudomonadati; Bacteroidota; Bacteroidia; Bacteroidales; Prevotellaceae. The record is from RNAcentral.